UAGUCGCCGUGGCGCAGCUGCGCGUUUCCGUUCGACGCGGGAUCGGAGAGCGACAGCCCGUCGGUGCCCACGUUCUGGUCCGCGAAGCGGCCGU
This 94-nucleotide transfer RNA is filed under the name Burkholderia cepacia. RNAcentral describes it as "tRNA-Ser(cga)". Lineage: Bacteria; Pseudomonadati; Pseudomonadota; Betaproteobacteria; Burkholderiales; Burkholderiaceae. The record is from RNAcentral.